Molecule: ribosomal RNA, 248 nt
Filed under: uncultured bacterium
Lineage: Bacteria
Description: partial 16S ribosomal RNA
Rfam family: Bacterial small subunit ribosomal RNA
Source: RNAcentral
CUAGCCGUAAACGAUGGAUGCUAGGUGUUGGCGGACUUAACCCCGCCUGUGCCGAAGCUAACGCGUUAAGCAUCCCGCCUGGGAAGUACGAUCGCAAGAUUAAAACUCAAAGGAAUUGACGGGGACCCGCACAAGCAGCGGAGCGUGUGGUUUAAUUCGAUGCUACACGAAGAACCUCACCCAGGUUUGACAUAUGGGUAGUAGUGAACCGAAAGGGGAACGACCCGCAAGGGAGCUCAUACAGGUGU